AGGAAGGGGAGGAGGCGAGGGGAGCCCGCCGCGGAGGCCGAGCGAGCCCCCAGCCCAGCCUGGCGACUGGGGACCCCGGCACAUGAGGUGGACGCCCCCGGGGAAGACUUGGGUGCACAGCCAGGCGAGAAGGUCUUGAGUCAGAGCACCAGCCUUGGGGACCCUGGACCACUAUCAUGGAGACUGAGAGCGAGCAGAACUCCAAUUCCACCAAUGGGAGUUCCAGCUCAGGGGGCAGCUCUCGGCCCCAGAUAGCUCAAAUGUCACUAUAUGAACGACAAGCAGUGCAGGCUCUGCAAGCACUGCAGCGGCAGCCCAAUGCAGCUCAGUAUUUCCACCAGUUCAUGCUCCAGCAGCAGCUCAGUAAUGCCCAGCUGCAUAGCCUGGCUGCCGUCCAGCAGGCCACAAUUGCUGCCAGUCGGCAGGCCAGCUCCCCAAACACCAGCACUACACAGCAGCAGACUACCACCACCCAGGCCUCGAUGAAUCUGGCCACCACAUCGGCCGCCCAGCUCAUCAGCCGAUCCCAGAGUGUGAGCUCUCCCAGUGCUACCACCUUGACCCAAUCUGUGCUACUGGGGAACACCACCUCCCCACCCCUCAACCAGUCUCAGGCCCAGAUGUAUCUACGGCCACAGCUGGGAAACCUAUUGCAGGUAAACCGAACCCUGGGUCGGAAUGUGCCUCUAGCCUCCCAACUCAUCCUGAUGCCUAAUGGGGCAGUGGCUGCAGUCCAGCAGGAGGUGCCAUCUGCUCAGUCUCCUGGAGUUCAUGCAGAUGCAGAUCAGGUUCAGAACUUGGCAGUAAGGAAUCAACAGGCCUCAGCUCAAGGACCUCAGAUGCAAGGCUCCACUCAGAAGGCCAUUCCUCCAGGAGCCUCCCCUGUCUCUAGCCUCUCCCAGGCCUCUAGCCAGGCCCUAGCGGUGGCACAGGCUUCCUCUGGGGCCACAAACCAGUCCCUCAACCUUAGUCAAGCAGGUGGAGGCAGUGGGAAUAGCAUCCCGGGGUCCAUGGGUCCAGGUGGAGGUGGCCAGGCACAUGGUGGUUUGGGUCAGUUGCCUUCCUCAGGAAUGGGUGGUGGGAGCUGUCCCAGGAAGGGUACAGGAGUGGUGCAGCCCUUGCCUGCAGCCCAAACAGUGACUGUGAGCCAGGGCAGCCAGACAGAGGCAGAAAGUGCAGCAGCCAAGAAGGCAGAAGCAGAUGGGAGUGGCCAGCAGAAUGUGGGCAUGAACCUGACACGGACAGCCACACCUGCGCCCAGCCAGACACUUAUUAGCUCAGCCACCUACACACAGAUCCAGCCCCAUUCACUGAUUCAGCAACAGCAACAGAUCCACCUCCAGCAGAAACAGGUGGUGAUCCAGCAGCAGAUUGCCAUCCACCACCAGCAGCAGUUCCAGCACCGGCAGUCCCAGCUCCUUCAUACAGCUACACACCUCCAGUUGGCGCAGCAGCAGCAGCAGCAGCAACAACAGCAACAGCAGCAACAGCAGCAGCCGCAAGCCACCACCCUCACUGCCCCUCAGCCACCACAGGUCCCACCUACUCAGCAGGUCCCACCUUCCCAGUCCCAGCAGCAAGCCCAAACCCUGGUCGUUCAGCCCAUGCUUCAGUCUUCACCCUUGUCUCUUCCACCUGAUGCAGCCCCUAAGCCACCAAUUCCCAUCCAAUCCAAACCACCUGUAGCACCUAUCAAGCCACCUCAGUUAGGGGCUGCUAAGAUGUCAGCUACCCAGCAACCACCACCCCAUAUCCCUGUGCAAGUUGUAGGCACUCGACAGCCAGGGGACAGCACAUGUGGUAAAGGGUGGGGCUACCACCUCCUCACCUGUUGUAGCCCAGGUCCCUGCUGCCUUCUAUAUGCAGUCUGUGCACUUGCCGGGUAAACCCCAGACAUUGGCUGUCAAACGCAAGGCUGACUCUGAGGAUGAGAGAGAUGAUGUCUCCACAUUGGGUUCAAUGCUUCCUGCCAAGGCAUCUCCAGUAGCAG
RNAcentral lists this small RNA (1990 nucleotides) under Pan troglodytes (chimpanzee). RNAcentral describes it as "processed transcript". The record is from RNAcentral. Lineage: Eukaryota; Metazoa; Chordata; Mammalia; Primates; Hominidae.